This 460-nucleotide long non-coding RNA is filed under the name Dermacentor andersoni. RNAcentral's name for it is "uncharacterized LOC126518969". Lineage: Eukaryota; Metazoa; Arthropoda; Arachnida; Ixodida; Ixodidae. The record is from RNAcentral.
AGGCGAUCUUCAUUGUGAGGAGGUUGCAGAUUUUGAGUACGGCAACUCGGAGUUCGUAAUAGGCUCCAGAAGAGAUGACGGAAAGGUUUAUGCAGGCAGCGGCUUCUGGUUGGACCAGAAAGCCUGGGACUGCUUGUUUAGUGCCUCGACGGAUUCUAUGUUCUGCAGAAGCGCUGCUACCGUCUUGUGGACGGCAGAGCAAUUAAAGACGAGGAGUGUCAUGGGGACACAUUCGAACAAAGCCCGUUCGCUUGGCUACACCGAGGCAAAGCCACCGCUCACGCCAGAAAAAAUCUCGUCUCUAAAGGCGAUGCUUGCCAUCUACAUGGGUGAUGUUACAAAGGAGGUGGCGGACAAGCGAAUGAAGAUGGUCCGUAAACACCUGUCGCAGAAGCUUGGCGAUGUGCAGCGGCGUUGAAUUGUGUGUCACAAGCAUCUUGAAUAAAUGUAUUAGUCAGAG